GCCGUCGACGAUGAAGAGAUCCUACAAUUCAUCAUGAAUGGCCUCGACUUUGAUUACAAUCCACUUGUUUCCUCUAUCCUUGGCCAUGCUAAUUCCAUAUCAUUAAGUGAUCUGUACUCUCAACUAGUGGCAUAUGACA
This 139-nucleotide small nucleolar RNA is filed under the name Setaria italica (foxtail millet). Its description in RNAcentral is "Small nucleolar RNA Z247". It matches the Rfam family "Small nucleolar RNA Z247". Rfam says of the family: Z247 is a member of the C/D class of snoRNA which contain the C (UGAUGA) and D (CUGA) box motifs. Lineage: Eukaryota; Viridiplantae; Streptophyta; Magnoliopsida; Poales; Poaceae. The record is from Rfam by way of RNAcentral.